GACGAACGCUGGCGGCGUGCCUAAUACAUGCAAGUAGAACGCUGAAGGAGGAGCUUGCUUCUCUGGAUGAGUUGCGAACGGGUGAGUAACGCGUAGGUAACCUGCCUGGUAGCGGGGGAUAACUAUUGGAAACGAUAGCUAAUACCGCAUAAUAGUAGAUGUUGCAUUACAUUUGCUUAAAAGUUGCAAUUUCAUCACUACCAGAUGGACCUGCGUUGUAUUAGCUAGUUGGGGGGGUAACGGCUCACCAAGGCGACGAUACAUAGCCGACCUGAGAGGGUGAGCGGCCACACUGGGACUGAGACACGGCCCAGACUCCUACGGGAGGCAGCAGGAGGGAAUCUUCGGCAAUGGACGGAAGUCUGACCGAGCAACGCCGCGUGAGUGAAGAAGGUUUUCGGAUCGUAAAGCUCUGUUGUAAGAGAAGAACGAGUGUGAGAGUGGAAAGUUCACACUGUGACGGUAUCUUACCAGAAAGGGACGGCUAACUACGUG
This 495-nucleotide ribosomal RNA is filed under the name uncultured bacterium. RNAcentral's name for it is "partial 16S ribosomal RNA". It matches the Rfam family "Bacterial small subunit ribosomal RNA", at positions 28 to 507 of the family's 1533-position model. The record is from RNAcentral.